CCUACGGGAGGCUGCCGUGGGGAAUAUUGGACAAUGGGGGGAACCCUGAUCCAGCGACGCCGCGUGAGUGAAGAAGUAUUUCGGUAUGUAAAGCUCUAUCAGCAGGGAAGAAAAUGACGGUACCUGAGUAAGAAGCCCCGGCUAACUACGUGCCAGCAGCCGCGGUAAUACGUAGGGGGCAAGCGUUAUCCGGAUUUACUGGGUGUAAAGGGAGCGUAGACGGCAGUGCAAGUCUGGAGUGAAAGGCGGGGGCUCAACCCCCGGAGUGCUCUGGAAACUGUACGGCUGGAGUGCAGGAGAGGUAAGUGGAAUUCCUAGUGUAGCGGUGAAAUGCGUAGAUAUUAGGAGGAACACCAGUGGCGAAGGCGGCUUACUGGACUGUAACUGACGUUGAGGCUCGAAAGCGUGGGGAGCAAACAGGAUUAGAUACCCCUGUAGUC
Molecule: ribosomal RNA, 440 nt
Filed under: uncultured bacterium
Lineage: Bacteria
Description: partial 16S ribosomal RNA
Rfam family: Bacterial small subunit ribosomal RNA
Source: RNAcentral